UUACAGAAUUACACGUACAUUUGUAUUUGUGUGUGUAUUUGUGUUUAGUACCCUGUUCGAGAGGGUUUCAGUCUGCUGCUGUAUCCGUUGUCGGUGAUGGGGCCAUACGGAUCUCACACGGUUCUGAUACCAGUGACCGGGACUGAGCAGAACACACAACGCAGCCAAAAUCCGCAGGCAAACAACAGCAAGAUCAGCGCUCAAAGUGUGUCCAAGCUUUUACAUGCAAACAGUGCAUUUCCCCAGCCGGACCCUGGCCAUGGCCCUGCCCUGGACUCUGCUCCCAGCCCCGCUCCUGACCUUCACACAGUCCCAUCGGAGUCUUUGGUUAUGCGGGGGCAGGUACAGAGCAGCUCUCAAUUCACAUGCACCUUCUCAGCACUGGACCCUGUUCUGUCCUGAUGGAUUUCUUGAUUUCUUUUGGUUUCAGAUAUCAAAUUUCGUCCCUUCAAACGUCCCUCUGCAGGUCUAUUCAUUUGUCCAGCAGGCUGUAAUUUUAGACUCAGGCAGUUCAGAGGAAGGAGCUGCUGCUCAGGUGAUUUAUAUGGUUCCUAUCAGCGUGGAUUCACCCAACGUGAGUGUGAUGGAGGGCACCGUGCCCAAUCCUGACCCAGGACACCUGCAGAUCCCAGCCAGCACCCCUGCUGUGGCCACUGCGGCACGACCGGACGCUCAGGGACAGCUGGGGAAAACUGUGGGGACAGAAAGAGCCACGCAGACACGCUCUGGGAGUGAAAGGCCUCUGACCACAAGCACUCCACAGGAAACACAUCAGCUGUCAAGAAAAUGAAAGGCCAUUCACUGAUGCUUGGAAACUGUUGUGUGCGGAAUUGUAAAAUAACUUCAGCCAUAAAACAGCUCUAUAGUCAAUGUGUUGUCAUUAUUCAGUGAGCUCAUUUAUUAGUUUCAGCUGAUCAUAGCUUAAUCUAUACAAUGAAUAUUAGUUUUCUUUUAAUCCCCAGAUCAUAUCAUAUUAAAUUGUCUUUACUGUGACUGUAGUUCAGAAGUGCUCCCAACAAUCAUCAACGUUUAAAUCCAACUCUCCUUUUAGACUUUAUACUUUGGAUAUGAAAAAGAGGCAAGUUACAAAGAAACACUGAGGUUUUAAUUUAUUUAAGGCAACAGAGGAGGUGAAUUCUGUCUGAUUACACAACGAGACGCUACCAGAUAAACAAGACAAAUGAUUGUGCUUAUCAUGUUUGUGUUAUUUGCCUUCGAAUAACACUGGAGUGCGAUUGAACUGCUGAUUGUCGUUUUUGGGAUGUGAGUUACUGUGAGAACUUGGCAUUUCCUCCUGGUGUGUGUGACCUUUGACCUCAGUAUCAUUUCCAUUCAGCGGAUUCGUUUAUUUACAUUAAAGUCUGGUGCCGUCCUUUAUUUGUGUGUUUAUCUAUUGAUAAUGGUUUGUUCCUGUAGUAAAUAACCUAGAAAUUUUCAUCUCUUCUAUUAUUGUGGGUAAAAGUAGUGAACUUAAUGAGACAUGAGUGGAUUUUGUCCUCUGUGACACAAAGUUCUUUAAUAUUCUAACUCUUAUUUAUUUAUCUUUACAUUCUAUAAGUGAAGUGUUUGUUCUAUAGCAAUACAG
Molecule: long non-coding RNA, 1585 nt
Organism: Cyprinus carpio (common carp)
Lineage: Eukaryota; Metazoa; Chordata; Actinopteri; Cypriniformes; Cyprinidae
Source: Ensembl